Molecule: long non-coding RNA, 1062 nt
Filed under: Sus scrofa (pig)
Lineage: Eukaryota; Metazoa; Chordata; Mammalia; Artiodactyla; Suidae
Description: lncRNA (ENSSSCG00070020489.1)
Source: RNAcentral
ACAUGGGCGAGUGAAAAUUCGAAGAGAGAAAUUAGAACAUCAGGUCAUUGACCCACCCUGGAAAUACCCAGUGGAGUCCAAGGUCCUUCCUAGAGAGAUAAAUUGCAUAGAUAAAUAGAAAAAGAGAUGAAAAACCCCAGCCAAAUCCAGAUAGAUUGCUUUAUUUUGUUUGCCUAAGACCAAAGUGUUUCUCACUUUUUAAUUUAUGGUUUUGGUGUCUUACAAAGAAUCUGAAUAUCUGUCCAUGUGUCAUUGCCCUCUACUGGAUAAACUGGGUAAUGUCGCUUCACUCUUUUCCUGGUAUUAUAUCGAACAAUAGCUCCUACUUGCCUACAUGUGGUCUUAUCAUUUGUCAAAAUGUUCUUAGACAUAGAAUUUGAAUUCAUUCUGAUAAUAGGGCUUUGAAACGACUAAGCUAUUUUCGUUCCCAUUUUACAGAUGAAAAAACUGAGGCAGAGAGAAAUGUAUUCAUUGAACACACAUACUUCAAAGGAGCUAAAUGCAAAGAACUACGCCAGGCAAUUUACAAAGAUGAAUAAGAUGGAAUCUGAUCUCCAGGAGCUUAUGAUAUAUUGCAGGUUCAGGACUCCUUCCAUUGAAUUUCAGUGGUUCCCAGAAAGAUGUGUGGACUCUUCUUCAUCAUAACAACCACAGUGAUAAUGAAAAUAAGUACCUGAGUCUGAAUCACAAGGUUGCUAUUAGAGGUGCUGAUUUUCGGUAAGUUGAUUCAUUUCACACUCAGUUACUUCAUCUAUAAAGUAAGAUAGUAAUAGCCUCAUUCCUGGACCUGACCCUCUACUUUGUACCCUAAGACUGAUAUUUCUUCAUGAAUUCUGUUGGAGGUCCUAUAACACCGCAAUACCAACAGGCAGAAUCAGAAGCUAACUGUUGGUCUCUUACACACUUGGUUUAAGUCACUCUGAUCCUGUUUUAUUUCCAUUUUUCUCUCUCUGCAAAUUCAUGAGUUUCUUGAAAGCAGGGUCCAGUUCUUCCACACCCAUAUUCCUCAAGUGCUUUAGCCUAGACGUGAUGUGCAUGCUGAAUUCGUUACAAGUAGCCAGA